AUACGGAGGAUCCGAGCGUUAUCCGGAUUUAUUGGGUUUAAAGGGAGCGUAGGCGGACGCUUAAGUCAGUUGUGAAAGUUUGCGGCUCAACCGUAAAAUUGCAGUUGAUACUGGGUGUCUUGAGUACAGUAGAGGCAGGCGGAAUUCGUGGUGUAGCGGUGAAAUGCUUAGAUAUCACGAAGAACUCCGAUUGCGAAGGCAGCUUGCUGGACUGUAACUGACGCUGAUGCUCGAAAGUGUGGGUAUCAAACAGGAUUAGAUACCCUGGUAGUCCACACAGUAAACGAUGAAUACUCGCUGUUUGCGAUAUACAGUAAGCGGCCAAGCGAAAGCGUUAAGUAUUCCACCCGGGGAGUACGCCGGCAACGGUGAAACUCAAAGGAAUUGACGGGG
RNAcentral lists this ribosomal RNA (393 nucleotides) under uncultured bacterium. RNAcentral describes it as "partial 16S ribosomal RNA". It matches the Rfam family "Bacterial small subunit ribosomal RNA", at positions 523 to 918 of the family's 1533-position model. The record is from RNAcentral.